RNAcentral lists this ribosomal RNA (487 nucleotides) under uncultured bacterium. RNAcentral's name for it is "bacterial SSU rRNA". It matches the Rfam family "Bacterial small subunit ribosomal RNA", at positions 1 to 507 of the family's 1533-position model. The record is from RNAcentral.
GUAGUCACGAGUUUGAUCCUGGCUCACGAUUGAACGCUGGCGGCAUGCCUUACACAUGCAAGUCGAACGGCAGCACGGAGCAAUCCUGGUGGCGAGUGGCGAACGGGUGAGUAAUAUAUCGGAACGUGCCCAGGUCGUGGGGGAUAACGUAGCGAAAGCUACGCUAAUACCGCAUACGAUCUAUGGAUGAAAGCGGGGGAUCGCGAGACCUCGCGCGAUUGGAGCGGCCGAUAUCAGAUUAGGUAGUUGGUGAGGUAAAGGCUCACCAAGCCGACGAUCUGUAGCUGGUCUGAGAGGACGACCAGCCACACUGGGACUGAGACACGGCCCAGACUCCUACGGGAGGCAGCAGUGGGGAAUUUUGGACAAUGGGCGAAAGCCUGAUCCAGCAAUGCCGCGUGAGUGAUGAAGGCCUUCGGGUUGUAAAGCUCUUUUACUCGGGACGAUAAUGACGGUACCGAGAAAAUAAGCCCCGGCUAACUCCGUG